GAUGAACGCUGGCGGCGUGCUUAACACAUGCAAGUCGAACGAAGCACUUUGGAUGGAUCUCUUCGGAAUGAUAUCCUUAGUGACUGAGUGGCGGACGGGUGAGUAACGCGUGGGUAACCUGCCUCAUACAGGGGGAUAACAGUUAGAAAUGGCUGCUAAUACCGCAUAAGCGCACAGUACCGCAUGGUACGGUGUGAAAAACUCCGGUGGUAUGAGAUGGACCCGCGUCUGAUUAGCUAGUUGGCAGGGUAACGGCCUACCAAGGCGACGAUCAGUAGCCGACCUGAGAGGGUGAUCGGCCACAUUGGGACUGAGACACGGCCCAAACUCCUACGGGAGGCAGCAGUGGGGAAUAUUGCACAAUGGGGGAAACCCUGAUGCAGCGACGCCGCGUGAAGGAAGACGUAUUUCGGUAUGUAAACUUCUAUCAGCAAGGAAGAUGAUGACGGUACUUGACUAAGAAGCCCCGGCUAACUACGUG
This 481-nucleotide ribosomal RNA is filed under the name uncultured bacterium. RNAcentral describes it as "bacterial SSU rRNA". It matches the Rfam family "Bacterial small subunit ribosomal RNA", at positions 28 to 507 of the family's 1533-position model. The record is from RNAcentral.